GGGCUGCUAGUUAAACCUGGUAUAACGCUCCGUUGGCUUCGGAGAGGCUCCGCGUUCAAAUCGCGGGCAGUCCA
Molecule: transfer RNA, 74 nt
Filed under: Candidatus Woesearchaeota archaeon
Lineage: Archaea; Nanobdellati; Candidatus Woesearchaeota
Description: tRNA-Ala
Source: RNAcentral